Molecule: ribosomal RNA, 634 nt
Filed under: Enterococcus casseliflavus
Lineage: Bacteria; Bacillati; Bacillota; Bacilli; Lactobacillales; Enterococcaceae
Description: bacterial SSU rRNA
Rfam family: Bacterial small subunit ribosomal RNA
Source: RNAcentral
GGAGGGUCAUUGGAAACUGGGAGACUUGAGUGCAGAAGAGGAGAGUGGAAUUCCAUGUGUAGCGGUGAAAUGCGUAGAUAUAUGGAGGAACACCAGUGGCGAAGGCGGCUCUCUGGUCUGUAACUGACGCUGAGGCUCGAAAGCGUGGGGAGCGAACAGGAUUAGAUACCCUGGUAGUCCACGCCGUAAACGAUGAGUGCUAAGUGUUGGAGGGUUUCCGCCCUUCAGUGCUGCAGCAAACGCAUUAAGCACUCCGCCUGGGGAGUACGACCGCAAGGUUGAAACUCAAAGGAAUUGACGGGGGCCCGCACAAGCGGUGGAGCAUGUGGUUUAAUUCGAAGCAACGCGAAGAACCUUACCAGGUCUUGACAUCCUUUGACCACUCUAGAGAUAGAGCUUCCCCUUCGGGGGCAAAGUGACAGGUGGUGCAUGGUUGUCSUCAGCUCGUGUCGUGAGAUGUUGGGUUAAGUCCCGCAACGAGCGCAACCCUUAUUGUUAGUUGCCAUCAUUUAGUUGGGCACUCUAGCGAGACUGCCCGGUGACAAACCGGAGGAAGGUGGGGAUGACGUCAAAUCAUCAUGCCCCUUAUGACCUGGGCUACACACGUGCUACAAUGGGAAGUACAACGAGUUGC